CCCUUAGAUGUCCGGGGCCGCACGCGCGCUACACUGAAGGAAUCAGCGUGGCUUUCUCCCUGACCCGAAAGGGUUGGGAAACCCGUUGAAUCUCCUUCGUGAUAGGGAUUGGGGCUUGAAAUUGUUCCCCAUGAACGAGGAAUUCCCAGUAAGCGCGAGUCAUAAGCUCGCGUUGAUUACGUCCCUGCCCUGUGUACACACCGCCCGUCGCUACUACCGAUUGAACGGUUUAGUGAGGGCCUCGGAUUGGUCUCGGCCCGCUCUUUACCGGGCGGCGCCGUUGGUCGAGAAGACGCUCGAACUUGAUCGUUUAGAGGAAGUAAAAGUCGUAACA
This 334-nucleotide ribosomal RNA is filed under the name uncultured eukaryote. Its description in RNAcentral is "partial 18S ribosomal RNA". It matches the Rfam family "Eukaryotic small subunit ribosomal RNA", at positions 1470 to 1796 of the family's 1831-position model. The record is from RNAcentral.